AAACCACCGGGAACUAACCAAAGUAGGAGUAGAUUCUUCUCUCUCCCCACUACUUCUUCUCCCUUUCUCUCUCACCUCUCCAUUUACGCUUGACUGUGCUCCAGUUCAGUCUCUUGCUCUGUUUCUCUAGCUUUAAAAGGGGCUUCUCCUCCAUCCACUGAAGCUCUCCUGCUUCAACUUGGUGUGCUUUUUUUAGAGAGAGAGAGAGAGAGAAGAGAAGGAUCAAAGAAGAGGAAUGUAUGCUGAAACCGACCUAGUGUUCCCGUACUUCCAGAACUUCUCUCAAGAAGUACUGCAACUUGAAGACUUCUGUCGCUCUCACAAAUCCAAUGUAAUUCCUAUGUAUUAUGAUCAAGCUGCUUCAACUAUAUACUCAAUGAAUUCUGUUUCAUUUCGGCAUCCAACGGGCAACCUGGUUCAGACAUCCACCAUAUCAGAGUAUGACUUGGGGGGAGAAGGAGAUCUAUUCAAGGCUCCGGAACCAAUAAUCGAAGAACCAGAUGUGGGUCUUGAUCCCAUGACAGCUGCCAUUUCAAUGAUCUCUUGUGGGGAAGAUGUCAUAACCCCGCAAACACUCAAAGUUGCGGACACUGAAUCAAUUCAAACUGAGCAACUUAUGAGCGAGGUUUUCUAUGAAUGCAAGAAGGAUAUAUUGGCAAAAGAAGCUAUUGAAUCAACGCUAUCCGAUAUAAUGGAUAUAAAGAUUCCUGUUGUAGGGACAGAGGAAAACUUGAUUUCAGAUGGCAAUUUUUUUACUGAAGAGUCUUUUCAAAAGAGUCUAAGUUUGGAAUGUUUAAGCUCAAUGGAUUGGAUGCAUGGGGCUCCAAUGAGGCCAAAUUUUCUGGAUUUUCCUGGAAUAGACCUGGAUGCUGUUUAUGGGAUGCGAAGGGCAUUUAGUGAAGGCGACAUAAAGGAUGGGGCUGGGUCAUUGAUACUGAGUUUUUAUGACAGACUCUUGGUAAUGGCAAUGUGAGCCUCAUCCAUUCUUCCCAUGGGCUGCCUCCACUUAUUGGAAAUUCUACCACUGAAGACCGCAGGCAAAAGCUUUCCAGAUAUAGGAACAAGAAGACAAAGAGGAACUUUGGCCGGAAAAUCAAGCUCUAUCAGAAAUCAUUUUGCACCCUCUUCCCAAAGUCUGCAUAAGUGCUUUAGGGUUGUUAGAUGAUUCCCGGCAGCAUUGAACAAUCGAACAUGAAAUGGAACCUUGGGAUGUCGAUUAAGUCAGACGUUGUCCAACUACUUUGGCUGUGAAUCCCUUCAAAAUCACAUUCCAGAAUUGGGUUAUAUUUUCUCCAUUACCUAACUUCCUUAAGGUGUCCACUACUGUAACCAUUAAGAAGUAUGCUUGCAGGAAGGCUUUGGCGGACAGUCAACCAAGGAUUCGCGGAAGAUUUGCAAAGACAGAAGAAUCUGAUUUUCCGAAGAAGGAAUGACUUCCCGACUCUACGAGUAAAAAAAUGAGGAAAUGUAGAAAGGAAGUAGAGCUAUAGAUGAAGAAGAACAAA
Rhododendron vialii is the source of this 1505-nucleotide RNA transcript. RefSeq lists it as uncharacterized. Lineage: Eukaryota; Viridiplantae; Streptophyta; Magnoliopsida; Ericales; Ericaceae. The transcript has 6 exons. The record is from RefSeq and is a predicted model, not a curated record.